CGGGGUGAGUAAUGUCUGGGAAACUGCCUGAUGGAGGGGGAUAACUGCUGGAAACGGUAGCUAAUACCGCAUAACGUCGCAAGACCAAAGAGGGGGACCUUCGGGCCUCUUGCCAUCGGAUGUGCCCAGAUGGGAUUAGCUAGUAGGUGGGGUAACGGCUCACCUAGGCGACGAUCCCUAGCUGGUCUGAGAGGAUGACCAGCCACACUAGAACUGAGACACGGUCCAG
This 229-nucleotide ribosomal RNA is filed under the name uncultured bacterium. Its description in RNAcentral is "partial 16S ribosomal RNA". It matches the Rfam family "Bacterial small subunit ribosomal RNA", at positions 104 to 334 of the family's 1533-position model. The record is from RNAcentral.